Eublepharis macularius is the source of this 237-nucleotide long non-coding RNA. RefSeq lists it as uncharacterized. The transcript has 2 exons. The record is from RefSeq and is a predicted model, not a curated record. Lineage: Eukaryota; Metazoa; Chordata; Lepidosauria; Squamata; Eublepharidae.
UACUUAGCAGAAACAAUGGUGGGAUGAACGAACAACACUGCCACUAUCAUACUAUGUUCACCUCUCUGAAGAGAACAACUACCAUCCAUCUCCAGCCUAUAUUGCAGCAGAGCCAGCCAUGGAUGCUGCAGCAUUUCAACAAUCUCUGUUUGGAAAUGGGCCACUCCAUUUAUGCAGCACAAGACUAUGACUAAGAUCAUAUUUAUAUUAAUAAUAUGAACUGGCUAUACCAUUUCA